RNAcentral lists this unclassified non-coding RNA (964 nucleotides) under Moniligastridae sp. YN201720-02. RNAcentral describes it as "partial contains 12S ribosomal RNA, tRNA-Val, and 16S ribosomal RNA". Lineage: Eukaryota; Metazoa; Annelida; Clitellata; Moniligastrida; Moniligastridae. The record is from RNAcentral.
UUUGAAGUUCCAGUUUGUAUACUGCCGUCGUAAGUAAACCUCUUAAAGUUAGUAUACUUAAAUGUAAUUAAUAGCAUUUACGUCAGGUCAGAGUGCAAUUUAUAGAAAGGAAACAAUGGGUUACAAUCUUUUACAGAGAUACGUAAAAUUAAUUGAAAUAUUAUUUAGAAGGAGGACUUAAUUGUAAUUUUAUAAAACUACUUAAAAUGAAAUUGUAUCUAAAGCAUGCACAUAUCGCCCGUCACUCUCGCUCUUAAAGUGAGAUAAGUCGUAACAAAGUAGGUGUAACGGAAGUUGUCCCUGUCGAAGUAUAGCAUAUUCAAUGCUUUUUACUUACACUAAAAAUAAAGCCAACUUGGCUUGCUUCGCAAUCUAAAUUUUUACCCUCUAAAGUUUUUAUAAAAAUUUUUUAUAGAAUUAAAGUACAGAAAUGGAAAUAAAAAAGAAAGUAGCGACUAUAUCGUGUACCUUUUGCAUAAUGGCUUUACAAGAUAUUUAUUUAUCAAUUUAAUCCCGAAUUCUAUGAGAGCUAUUAUUAAACUGUUUUGAACUUACUACUAGUUGUUUCAUUAACUUUAGAAGAUUUAGUAAUAGAGGCUACAUACCACUCGCUCAAGAAAAUUUCUGGUUUCUAAAUAAUUUUAUUAAUUAAAACAUGCAAUUUUUAUUAAAUUGUAGUGUAAUAUAUGGGAGGACAAGCCCCCGUAUUGAAAACAACUUAUUUUAUUAAAUUUAAUAUAGGCUUAAAAUCAGCCACUAACAGUGCUUUAUCGCAAAUUAUACUUAAUAGGUUAUUAGAAGUGUUUAGCAUAUUUAGAAAUUUUAAUAAACAAUUCCCAAAAAAUUUUUUAUGUAAAUAUAAGUAUUAUCUUAUAUUUUUAGAUAUAAACAACUAUAGAAAAAGGAACUAGGCAAAAUUUCAUUUCGACUGUUUAUCAAAAACAUUGCUCUUUGAAUAAGAAUA